CUCAGUUUCUGCAUACUGACAUGU
Molecule: non-coding RNA, 24 nt
Filed under: Arabidopsis thaliana (thale cress)
Lineage: Eukaryota; Viridiplantae; Streptophyta; Magnoliopsida; Brassicales; Brassicaceae
Source: RNAcentral